Molecule: ribosomal RNA, 1642 nt
Filed under: Salmonella enterica
Lineage: Bacteria; Pseudomonadati; Pseudomonadota; Gammaproteobacteria; Enterobacterales; Enterobacteriaceae
Description: partial 23S ribosomal RNA
Rfam family: Bacterial large subunit ribosomal RNA
Source: RNAcentral
GGGGCUAAACCAUGCACCGAAGCUGCGGCAGCGACACUGUGUGUUGUUGGGUAGGGGAGCGUUCUGUAAGCCUGUGAAGGUGUGUCGUGAGGCAUGCUGGAGGUAUCAGAAGUGCGAAUGCUGACAUAAGUAACGAUAAAGCGGGUGAAAAGCCCGCUCGCCGGAAGACCAAGGGUUCCUGUCCAACGUUAAUCGGGGCAGGGUGAGUCGACCCCUAAGGCGAGGCCGAAAGGCGUAGUCGAUGGGAAACGGGUUAAUAUUCCCGUACUUGGUGUUACUGCGAAGGGGGGACGGAGAAGGCUAUGUUGGCCGGGCGACGGUUGUCCCGGUUUAAGCGUGUAGGUGUGUGUUCCAGGUAAAUCCGGUUCACUUUAACACUGAGGCGUGACGACGAGGCACUACGGUGCUGAAGCAACAAAUGCCCUGCUUCCAGGAAAAGCCUCUAAGCAUCAGGUAACAUCAAAUCGUACCCCAAACCGACACAGGUGGUCAGGUAGAGAAUACCAAGGCGCUUGAGAGAACUCGGGUGAAGGAACUAGGCAAAAUGGUGCCGUAACUUCGGGAGAAGGCACGCUGACACGUAGGUGAAGUGAUUUACUCAUGGAGCUGAAGUCAGUCGAAGAUACCAGCUGGCUGCAACUGUUUAUUAAAAACACAGCACUGUGCAAACACGAAAGUGGACGUAUACGGUGUGACGCCUGCCCGGUGCCGGAAGGUUAAUUGAUGGGGUCAGCGCAAGCGAAGCUCCUGAUCGAAGCCCCGGUAAACGGCGGCCGUAACUAUAACGGUCCUAAGGUAGCGAAAUUCCUUGUCGGGUAAGUUCCGACCUGCACGAAUGGCGUAAUGAUGGCCAGGCUGUCUCCACCCGAGACUCAGUGAAAUUGAACUCGCUGUGAAGAUGCAGUGUACCCGCGGCAAGACGGAAAGACCCCGUGAACCUUUACUAUAGCUUGACACUGAACAUUGAGCCUUGAUGUGUAGGAUAGGUGGGAGGCUUUGAAGUGUGGACGCCAGUCUGCAUGGAGCCGACCUUGAAAUACCACCCUUUAAUGUUUGAUGUUCUAACGUGGACCCGUUACCCGGGUUGCGGACAGUGUCUGGUGGGUAGUUUGACUGGGGCGGUCUCCUCCUAAAGAGUAACGGAGGAGCACGAAGGUUGGCUAAUCCUGGUCGGACAUCAGGAGGUUAGUGCAAUGGCAUAAGCCAGCUUGACUGCGAGCGUGACGGCGCGAGCAGGUGCGAAAGCAGGUCAUAGUGAUCCGGUGGUUCUGAAUGGAAGGGCCAUCGCUCAACGGAUAAAAGGUACUCCGGGGAUAACAGGCUGAUACCGCCCAAGAGUUCAUAUCGACGGCGGUGUUUGGCACCUCGAUGUCGGCUCAUCACAUCCUGGGGCUGAAGUAGGUCCCAAGGGUAUGGCUGUUCGCCAUUUAAAGUGGUACGCGAGCUGGGUUUAGAACGUCGUGAGACAGUUCGGUCCCUAUCUGCCGUGGGCGCUGGAGAACUGAGGGGGGCUGCUCCUAGUACGAGAGGACCGGAGUGGACGCAUCACUGGUGUUCGGGUUGUCAUGCCAAUGGCACUGCCCGGUAGCUAAAUGCGGAAGAGAUAAGUGCUGAAAGCAUCUAAGCACGAAACUUGCCCCGA